GGACACGUGGUAUCCUGUCUGAAUAUGGGGGGACCAUCCUCCAAGGCUAAAUACUCCUGACUGACCGAUAGUGAACCAGUACCGUGAGGGAAAGGCGAAAAGAACCCCGGCGAGGGGAGUGAAAAAGAACCUGAAACCGUGUACGUACAAGCAGUGGGAGCACGCUUAGGCGUGUGACUGCGUACCUUUUGUAUAAUGGGUCAGCGACUUAUAUUCUGUAGCAAGGUUAACCGAAUAGGGGAGCCGAAGGGAAACCGAGUCUUAACUGGGCGUUAAGUUGCAGGGUAUAGACCCGAAACCCGGUGAUCUAGCCAUGGGCAGGUUGAAGGUUGGGUAACACUAACUGGAGGACCGAACCGACUAAUGUUGAAAAAUUAGCGGAUGACUUGUGGCUGGGGGUGAAAGGCCAAUCAAACCGGGAGAUAGCUGGUUCUCCCCGAAAGCUAUUUAGGUAGCGCCUCGUGAAUUCAUCUCCGGGGGUAGAGCACUGUUUCGGCAAGGGGGUCAUCCCGACUUACCAACCCGAUGCAAACUGCGAAUACCGGAGAAUGUUAUCACGGGAGACACACGGCGGGUGCUAACGUCCGUCGUGAAGAGGGAAACAACCCAGACCGCCAGCUAAGGUCCCAAAGUCAUGGUUAAGUGGGAAACGAUGUGGGAAGGCCCAGACAGCCAGGAUGUUGGCUUAGAAGCAGCCAUCAUUUAAAGAAAGCGUAAUAGCUCACUGGUCGAGUCGGCCUGCGCGGAAGAUGUAACGGGGCUAAACCAUGCAC
RNAcentral lists this ribosomal RNA (773 nucleotides) under Escherichia coli. Its description in RNAcentral is "partial 23S ribosomal RNA". It matches the Rfam family "Bacterial large subunit ribosomal RNA", at positions 420 to 1194 of the family's 2925-position model. The record is from RNAcentral. Lineage: Bacteria; Pseudomonadati; Pseudomonadota; Gammaproteobacteria; Enterobacterales; Enterobacteriaceae.